This is a long non-coding RNA of Nerophis lumbriciformis (worm pipefish), 981 nucleotides long. RefSeq lists it as uncharacterized. The record is from RefSeq and is a predicted model, not a curated record. NCBI's taxonomy places the organism in Eukaryota, Metazoa, Chordata, Actinopteri, Syngnathiformes, Syngnathidae.
UUCACAAUUCUUUCUGUUGUUGUUUCGACAUGUGGCUGUAACAGAUUAGCAGAGGUCAUCAGAAAGUAAGAAAGAAUUCAAAUACAAAGACAGACUUAUUGAAUGUUCAUUUUUUGGGAUCUACUGAAAGAGGAUCUGCAAGUCUUGGACAGAGGACAUGAUGGGUCAUCCUGCAAAGAUGUCAACUGUAGAAGAGCAGCAGCAGUGUUUAGAGACGUGCAAAGAUCCAGUGUCUCUCAGCUUGGACACACUCAGAGGACAACAUGCAAGCAAGACAUGUCCACUUGGCACAAGGAGAGCAUCUUUAGAACUACUAACAGGGAUCAACUUUGUUUUGGAGACAAAGGAGGACAACCUGGGACAAAAUAAGAGAACAAACAUUAAAAAUUCGGAAUGAAGAUGAGAGAAAAUACACAUCAAGAUGAACAAGCAUUGUGGAGAAAGAAUGUGCAGGAAGGGAAUGUUGAACAAUUAAAUGUUUACUGAAGCUGGACAUGUUAAAAAGUGUAAAUAGAGCUGAUGUGGUACAAGAACUGGACUUCUAGGUUCAAAGUAGUCAACCUGGGACUUUCAGUACAGAUCAAAAGUUUGGUUGAAAAUGAAACGUUCAUUAAAUUAAUUCUUGUUUCUGGUGAUGGUUUUUAUAUUAGUAUUAUCUUGAUUUUGUAUGUACUUUGUCAUAUUUUAUUCAGUAUGGUACUUUUUCAUCACUUACAAUAUUGUUUGUUUUUGGUACACUAAUGUAUAUAUUGUUGGCCAUUGGUUCUUUGUUUAUCUAUUUCUAUAUUGCUCUUUUUUUAUCUUUGGUAUGAACAUUAUUAUGUAAACACCAAGUUAUUGUUUUUUGUUGUUGCUAUUUUUGUAUUACAAAAUGUUUUUAUCGAUCAUGUUGUACUGCAUUGUAAUCUUUUGUUUUGUGAUUGUGAUGUUUUUUUUUUGGUGUAGACUAAUGGUGAUCCUUAAUAAACUGAACUAAACUUC